AACGAACGCUGGCGGCAUGCCUAACACAUGCAAGUCGAACGAGAUCCUUCGGGGUCUAGUGGCGCACGGGUGCGUAACGCGUGGGAAUCUGCCCUUAGGUUCGGAAUAACAGUUAGAAAUGACUGCUAAUACCGGAUGAUGACGUUAAGUCCAAAGAUUUAUCGCCUGAGGAUGAGCCCGCGUAGGAUUAGCUAGUUGGUGUGGUAAAGGCGCACCAAGGCGACGAUCCUUAGCUGGUCUGAGAGGAUGAUCAGCCACACUGGGACUGAGACACGGCCCAACCACCACUGGGGGGCAAAAGAGGGGAAUAUUAGAAAAGGGGGGGAGUCCUGUUACAGCAAUGCCGCGGGAAAAAUGAAGGCUUUGGGGGUUUAAAGCUUUUUUACGCGGAAUGAUAAAGGCAGUACGGGGAGAAGAAGCCCCGGGUUACACCCU
This 435-nucleotide ribosomal RNA is filed under the name uncultured bacterium. RNAcentral describes it as "partial 16S ribosomal RNA". It matches the Rfam family "Bacterial small subunit ribosomal RNA", at positions 29 to 506 of the family's 1533-position model. The record is from RNAcentral.